CCAACCGGGAAUCCCCUAGUAGCGGCGAGCGAAGCGGGAAGAGCUCAAAUUUAUAAUCUGGCACCUUCGGUGUCCGAGUUGUAAUCUCUAGAAAUGUUUUCCGCGUUGGACCGCACACAAGUCUGUUGGAAUACAGCGGCAUAGUGGUGAGACCCCCGUAUAUGGUGCGGACGCCCAGCGCUUUGUGAUACAUUUUCGAAGAGUCGAGUUGUUUGGGAAUGCAGCUCAAAUUGGGUGGUAAAUUCCAUCUAAAGCUAAAUAUUGGCGAGAGACCGAUAGCGAACAAGUACCGUGAGGGAAAGAUGAAAAGCACUUUGGAAAGAGAGUUAACAGUACGUGAAAUUGUUGGAAGGGAAACGCUUGAAGUCAGACUUGCUUGCCGAGCAAUCGGUUUGCAGGCCAGCAUCAGUUUUCCGGGAUGGAUAAUGGUAGAGAGAAGGUAGCAGUUUCGGCUGUGUUAUAGCUCUCUGCUGGAUACAUCUUGGGGGACUGAGGAACGCAGUGUGCCUUUGGCGGGGGUUUCGACCUCUUCACACUUAGGAUGCUGGUGGAAUGGCUUUAAACGACCCGUCUAAAAACGGGAAAAAAAAAAAAAGAAAAUUUAAAAAAG
Molecule: ribosomal RNA, 610 nt
Filed under: Rhodotorula mucilaginosa
Lineage: Eukaryota; Fungi; Basidiomycota; Microbotryomycetes; Sporidiobolales; Sporidiobolaceae
Description: partial large subunit ribosomal RNA
Rfam family: Eukaryotic large subunit ribosomal RNA
Source: RNAcentral